AAAUUCGAAUCAAUUAGGAUCAUAGCAUAUGAAAAGGCCUUAUGACAUCUGUUGAUUGGAAUAUCUCCCAUAUUACAGCUUAGUGGCAAGGGCACAUAGCUAGGAAAUGGUCUCUGUUGAAAGCCUGGGGCCAGAGAAAACAGCAAAGAAUAUUUUCUGGAAGUGACCAGGGACACUGGAUGGAUACAGAGGGAUGUGCUAGAGGAGUGGCAUCAGCAUUUUGAGAAGCUUAAUGGAAGAUCAGCCCAAGGAUUCCACACAUAGGUAGUGUUGGCCAUCAGGGGUGGUAAACAUGAUUGUAGUAAUGGCAGUGAGGGACCUUGAUCAUCCUGGAUCUGUGGCAAAGGCUAGCAAUGAGGACAACUAAUGAAGGUAUAUCUUGGCUAAAAUAGCCAAAGGAGAAGACUGGAAACAACUGACAUCAACCAUGUUUUUCUUGUGGUUGGUUUUAUGUUCUUAGUACUGAGGAUUGAAACAGGCACUCUACCACUGAGCUACAUCCUGAGGUCCCUGAUGUCAGCCAUUUUAGCAGAAUCUUGGUCUAUUUACAACCAGUUCUCAGACCCAAAGACCAUGAUUAGUUGAGGAAAGGCAUGGCACCAUUACAACUACACAAUAUUUUACUAUAUUUCUCUCCAGGGCCAGGGCAUUAGGAAUGAAUGAUCCCAGUCUCUCGGGGCUGUUGGACAUUGGGUCUAAGUCAGCAUGAAUAUCGGGACCCAUUAUUCCCUGAUGACCCCUUUGUUAGAGAACAAUUCCAGAAAGGUAGAGUGGCCUUGGAUUCUCUGGAUGGAUAACUGUGUCUCACAGGUUUUAUAGACCGUUAUGAUGUCAAAACCCAAGUGUGAGUGGGCAAGGGUACUCCAGAAAGCCAAUCUCUCACUGGGUCCCUGGUUUGUGAAGAGUCACAAUGGUAGGAAAGACCAAGAACAACCCAAAUGGUUUUCCCCAUCCGGGAAAGUAAAUCAGCAUUGUGCAACUUUUGAGGUUAGGAACAUGUAUAGAGACCAAAAAAUUUCAAUUUUUUUUCCUGCUGUAUUGAACCAAAGCAGCACACAUGCUAGGCAAGUGCUCUACCACUAUAUUCCCAGCCCUGCAUCUUGCAACAAUUUGUGGUAGGACAUUUUGGAUUUUGAAGAAAGAUUGACACUUGAAAAACUGUUGCCCAAUUGCCAGAAGGCUGCAAGAGUUCUGUCAGCUGCUCUGCCAUCUGCUACAAAUGACAGAGCAGGCCCUACCACAGAGGUACCUGUGUUCAUAAAUGAUUCCAGCUGAGUACAGUGGCACAUGCUAUAAUCCCGGAGACUCAGAGGCUGAGGCAGGUGAUUCUCAGUUCAAGUCAAACCUGGGCAACUUAGUGAGAUCCUGUCUCAAAAAAGUAAAAAGCUCAGUAGUUAAAGCGCCCUUGGGUUCAAUUCGUAGGACCAAAAUAUAUAGGAGAGGAGGCUGCAAAUGAAGCUCAAUGGUAGAGUACUCCUGGUACUACCAAAAAAUAAGAUGAUUUUAUGUGGUGACUGAGAAAGCUAAAUAAACAGUUCAAAUCCCAAGUGUCUGAAUCAAGGCCACAUCUUCUGCAGGAGAGAGCUAGUAGUUAUUAAAAAAUCAGCCCUUAGCCAGGCACAGUGGCAUAUGCCUGUAAUUCCAGCAACUCCAAAGGUGGGAACAGGAGGACAAAAGUUCAAACCACCCUCAGCAACUUAAUGAGACCCUGUCUCAAAGUUAAAAAAAAAAAAAAGAAAGAAAGCUAGGGAUGUAGCUUAGUGGUAAAACACCCUGGGUUCAAUCUCCAGCAGCCACCCACUUAAAAAAAGAAAAAAAAAAAAAAUCAGCCCCUGAGUACUACUGAAUUCAUCAGAGCUGGGCCCAGUGCAUGGGAGACCAAGUCACCCUGUAGUAAGACCAACUUCAUGUGCCAGGUGCUGGCGGGUGCAUUUAUGUUUCCCAGUCUGGUUUAGAACUCCUGGACUCAAGCAAUCCUCCUGCCUUAGUCUCCCAAGUAGCUAGGGUUACAGGC
Molecule: long non-coding RNA, 2014 nt
Filed under: Marmota monax (woodchuck)
Lineage: Eukaryota; Metazoa; Chordata; Mammalia; Rodentia; Sciuridae
Source: RNAcentral